UCUUUCCUAAAGGAUAAUCGUGAGCCAGAUGGGUUUUUCCUGACAAUCAACAACGGUUUCAUGAUUGUCAUUAAACUCUUAAUUGAAGAUUGAUAAUCCAAGAUUAGUCAAGAAAAAUGUCAGGUCUCCUUACAAUCAAACAGGGAAUUUUAUAAUGGAGUGCAAAGUGAUGACAGACCAAUUAAAUAUAUCUUAGAUUUUCAAAAAGGGGCACACAAAUAAUGUCCCAAAAUUAAGGGGAUCACAGGGUCUAAUUGGAAGGUGGACUUGUAACAAAUUGGGAAAACUAAUGAGAUAACAGGCAGAUAAAUCCCCAGAGAUUGAUAACUUUCAUCUCAGAGUACCUUCGGAAGUGGCCUUAGAAAUAGCAGCUGCGCUAGUGGUUAUACUCCAAAAUACGAUACACUCGCAAAGAGUUCCGAUGGUUUGGAGGGUAGCUAACAUAACCCCAGUAUUUAAGAAGGAAGUCAGAGAGAAAACAUGGAAUUUGCAUAACAUUGUUGGUGGGAAAAAAUGUUCGAGUCCACUAUAAAAGUGGGAUAACAGACUCCUUAGAUGAUAGUGACUAAAUCAGACAGAGUCAGCCGAGGCUUUUUCUGUGCUGUAGGUCUCUGAGACUGGAUGUUGGGCAUGAAUUCCCUCCCAGCCACUCCCCAUCCUUACUUGGAAAUAUAUCACUAUUCCUUCAGUAUUGCUGGGUGGAAAUCCUGAAUUCCCACCCUAACAGCAUUGUGGGUCCACUUACAGCUCAUGGAGUACAGUGGUUCAUGAAAGCAGAUCACUACCACCCUCUCAAUGACAACUAGAUGCAUGAGCAGCAAUGCUCACAGGAAUAAAGGAAAAAAACAUUAUCAAGGCCAAUUGGGAAUGUGGAAUUGAAGCCUAAAUGGAUGAGCUUUGACCUUUUUGAGGCUCGAGGGGCAUAAUGGACAACUCUAGAUCCUAUUUCAUAUGUUCUCCUCUUCUUCUAUCAAAAUGCCUCAUCUCACCAAAAAUGGUGUAUUCCCUGGAAAUUAAAAGGAUGUUAAUUGAAGCUGGGUGGGGGGAUAAAAUGGAACUAAUAUACCGAGUAGGUGAAGUAGGAGCUCAAAUACCCUCCUGACCCCCCAAUAAUCAGACAAGAUUUGUGUUUCUUUGUUCUCCGGUUCAUUCGAGCAUAUGAAUGAGGAACAACUGUCGGCCACUCGGCCCUUUGAGCCUGCUCUGAGAUUCAAUAAGAUUAGGGCUGACCUGAUUUCAACCUCAACUCUGUGUCUGCGUAUCCCUGAAUAUCUUUCAUCAUCUCAGUCAUCAAGAAUCUGUCUGCUUCUGCCUUAAAAAAAAAGUUUAACAAUCUGCAACCACUGCCUUUUGACAAAGGGAGUUACAAAGAUUCACAACCCUCUUAGAGAAAAGAAAUGUUCCUCACCAUUUCAGAUGGAUUCACCCUUACCUUUAAACAAUGACUAUCAGUUCUAGAUUCUCCCACAAAAGGGACCAUGUUUUCAACAUCCACGUGGUCGGCUCCCCUCAAUAUCUUUCAAAUUUCAAUUUAGUCUCCUCUUUCUUUUCUAGACUCCAGAGGAUCCAGGCCCAGCCUGUCUACCCUUUCCCCAUUAGGCACUCGACUCAUUCUAGGGAAUUGGAAAGGAUUUACAGACAGGCAGCUCAAGUCAAAAAUUGGAUCAACAGCUGCCAGUAACACUCAAUUCUCGAGAGCUUUGAACGUCUCAGGUAGGGAAGAAAAAAGCAUCGUUCACAGUGAAGAGAAACCAUACACAUGGUCUGUGUGGACAAGCCUUCAGUCAAUCGUCUGGCCUGUCGAUACCUAAAUGCAGUCAAAACAGGAUGACAACAAUGACAUCAAGCAGCACUUGCUUUGCAAUAUCAUUGAUGGAUCUCAGUUUGAGUUAAGCAAGGGCCACUCAUCUCCUGAUCUCCUCACAUUUUUGGUGCAAACAUGGACCAAACAGCUGAAUUCCAAAUGAGAGUGCGACUUUCCUGCCAUCUUAAGGCUCUAUUUGACAGAGCAUUGUAUCAAGGAAUCAUAGCAAAACUAGAGUCAACGGGAUUCAGAGAAUAUUAUUCUCGCUUUGAUUGUGGGUUUUUGAAAAGAUUGCAUCUUCAGACCUGAGUAGAUCAAAACAAGGUGAAUUUAUUCAAGCUUGUACCACAUAUAUGCGGAAGAGGUCUCCUCGUCUCGCUUGGAGAUACUCUACCAUUUGCAGCUCAAAACAGCAUAUUGAGACGUUUUCACGUCAGGAUGGUUGUAUAUAACAUUGGCAUAAAAUAAAUUAGAUAAGUCAUUGACUACAAAAA
This is a long non-coding RNA of Rhincodon typus (whale shark), 2298 nucleotides long. RefSeq lists it as uncharacterized. The record is from RefSeq and is a predicted model, not a curated record. The transcript is spliced from 2 exons. Lineage: Eukaryota; Metazoa; Chordata; Chondrichthyes; Orectolobiformes; Rhincodontidae.